GUGAACGCUGGCGGUAGGCCUAACACAUGCAAGUCGAACGGCAGCACAGUAAGGGCUUGCUCUUACGGGUGGCGAGUGGCGGACGGGUGAGGAAUACAUCGGAAUCUACUUUUUUGUGGGGGAUAACGUAGGGAAACUUACGCUAAUACCGCAUACGACCUACGGGUGAAAGCAGGGGAUCUUCGGACCUUGCGCGAUUGAAUGAGCCGAUGUCGGAUUAGCUAGUUGGCGGGGUAAAGGCCCACCAAGGCGACGAUCCGUAGCUGGUCUGAGAGGAUGAUCAGCCACACUGGAACUGAGACACGGUCCAGACUCCUACGGGAGGCAGCAGUGGGGAAUAUUGGACAAUGGGCGCAAGCCUGAUCCAGCCAUACCGCGUGGGUGAAGAAGGCCUUCGGGUUGUAAAGCCCUUUUGUUGGGAAAGAAAAGCAGCAGGUUAAUACCCCGCUGUUCUGACGGUACCCAAAGAAUAAGCACCGGCUAACUUCGUG
Molecule: ribosomal RNA, 491 nt
Filed under: uncultured bacterium
Lineage: Bacteria
Description: partial 16S ribosomal RNA
Rfam family: Bacterial small subunit ribosomal RNA
Source: RNAcentral